Molecule: ribosomal RNA, 253 nt
Filed under: uncultured bacterium
Lineage: Bacteria
Description: partial 16S ribosomal RNA
Rfam family: Bacterial small subunit ribosomal RNA
Source: RNAcentral
GACGUAGGGCGCGAGCGUUGUCCGGAUUUAUUGGGCGUAAAGAGCUCGUAGGUGGUUUGUCGCGUUGUCCGUGAAAUUCCCUGGCUUAACUGGGGGCGUGCGGGCGAUACGGGCAGACUGGAGUACUGCAGGGGAGACUGGAAUUCCAGGUGUAGCGGUGAAAUGCGUAGAUAUCUGGAGGAACACCGGUGGCGAAGGCGGCAUCCUGGACCGGCACUGACGCUGAGGAGCGAAAGCCAGGGGAGCAAACGGG